RNAcentral lists this long non-coding RNA (1219 nucleotides) under Olea europaea subsp. europaea. The record is from RNAcentral. Lineage: Eukaryota; Viridiplantae; Streptophyta; Magnoliopsida; Lamiales; Oleaceae.
CACCAACACAAUGGUUGUGGGAUUUUUCUCCCCAAAUUGAAACACACAGAAACGGAAACCCGCCCACGCCUCACCAUCUUUGGCCACACUUCAAAGGACGGUACUAUCGAUGCUCCGGCAACACUUCCGUCUAAGGUUUGGCUCUCUACAACUUCAUCAUUUCCGAUCGCGCUUGGUACGAAGGUUGUCGCAACUCCAGGAGCACUUCCAUCCAAGUUUCACCGGUCACGCCUGACCAUCUCUGGCCACCAGUAAAAUUAGACGACAAUUAUCUCUCUUCCUCACGCCAUUUGGGAGUUGGUUGCUGGACAAAGGCAUGUAGAGAAUUCACCCCCAAUUCUUUAAUUUUGGUCAGUGUUAUAAUUUUUAUUUUUAUUUUCAUUUUUCUGCUACAUUGGUCAUAGAGCUAACCUUUUUCACUUAACUAAAAAAUGAUUGUCAGAUUCAAUUAUGUUUAGAAGGAAAGUCAUUAUCUUGUAGCCAAAAUAGUUAAAUUUCUGGUGUAAAAAUCCUAUUCUUUGGAUAAAGCAGAUAUCAAGAUCCAACAUUACUACAAUUGCAUCUCUUUGAGUUAAUUGUAAACUGUGGUUUGUUUUCAUUAUAGAAUGGGAGGAAAGAAUACUGGAAUUGUCAUAGCUGUAGAUCUAAGGGUCACUUCUUUGUUGACUGCCCAUUAAACCCCCGAUGCCCAAAUUGCAAGCAUGGAUUCGUGAAGUGUUUUGUAGUGGAGAAGUGGACGAUCAAUAAAGAGCGUUUAUUUCUUUGUUACAGCGAGAAAUGUGGAUUUUGAGAAUGGGUUGUGAAAACUCAAUCGAGCGAUCAAUCCUUUAGCGAUAAAUCUUCUUCAAUUUACCAUGUGACGAAUGGCACCGUUGAAGAAAUAUCACACACGUUCCAAUCUUGAGUUCUCCUCAUCGAUGAAGAAGACCUACAGAUUUUGGUGAACGUGACAAUAUGCAAGGCAAAUGGUAGUGUGAAAGUGAAUGCAAAUGGGAAGGGAUCGAUCUGAUUAUUAGAUAAACCUUAGCUCUCGAGUUGUGACAUAAAUUUUGGCAACGUAGCAUUAUUAUGCGCGACUCUAUGUAAACUAAUUGAAUGAUGGGUUUGUGUACCAUUUUGCAGGCCACAUUUGUAAUGCCAUCUCUCGUUUUCAAAUUUCUUAGUCGUUCAUGUGAAUGCUUAUAUUAGUUUAUUAGUUAUGCAAUUACUUCAGCAUGUA